RNAcentral lists this ribosomal RNA (433 nucleotides) under uncultured bacterium. RNAcentral's name for it is "bacterial SSU rRNA". It matches the Rfam family "Bacterial small subunit ribosomal RNA", at positions 29 to 507 of the family's 1533-position model. The record is from RNAcentral.
AACGAACGCUGGCGGCAGGCCUAACACAUGCAAGUCGAGCGCCCCGCAAGGGGAGCGGCGGACGGGUUAGUAACGCGUGGGAAUGUACCCUUUUCUACGGAAUAGCCUCGGGAAACUGAGAUUAAUACCGUAUACGCCCGGUAACGGGAAAGAUUUAUCGGAGAAGGAUCAGCCCGCGUAAGAUUAGAUAGUUGGUGGGGUAAUGGCCUACCAAGUCUACGAUCUUUAGCUGGUUUGAGAGGAUGAUCAGCAACACUGGGACUGAGGCACGGCCCAGACUCCUACGGGAGGCAGCAGUGGGGAAUCUUAGACAAUGGGCGCAAGCCUGAUCUAGCCAUGCCGCGUGAGUGAAGAAGGCCUUAGGGUCGUAAAGCUACUUUCAGUGGGGAAGAUAAUGACGGUACCCACAGAAGAAACCCCGGCUAACUCCGUG